This 989-nucleotide long non-coding RNA is filed under the name Elaeis guineensis (African oil palm). Its description in RNAcentral is "long non-coding RNA (EGUI_LNC018416)". Lineage: Eukaryota; Viridiplantae; Streptophyta; Magnoliopsida; Arecales; Arecaceae. The record is from RNAcentral.
AUAAACUUUGGAAUGGCCUCCUCAAUCCCUCUAUAAAUAGAGAGUUAGGGAUCCUUCAUUAGGAAGUUCUGCUCUCUGAAACUAGGGGAGACUCUGUCAGUAGAAAACUUGAUCAAAAUCUUGCUUCCUACCCAGUUCUCCUCCAGUUUCAUUCGAUCUCUCUUGCUCUCCUACUCUUUUUCAUUUAUAUUUUUCAAGUUCAAACUGACUUAAGUAUCAGAGGAUCAAGAAUCGAAAGAUCUCCAUCCGAUUUUUUGACUGAUUUUGUAGAUUGAAGAAAUUUCCAUCGGAUCGCAAAGAUCACUCCAGCCCAACCUCAUUUGAUUUGAUCCAUCCUACUUCAGAUAUUGAGCCUUGCAGCAAUAGAUUGGCACUAGAAGAAUGGUCCUUUCUAAUUUUUUUUAUAAAAAAAAUGAUCAAGUCACGAACUCAGCAUCUCUCUCUCCGCUCUAGAAGGAGCACUUGAGAUGCCAUCACAGCAAUCAAUUACUGUUGAUCCACAAUAGUUCAGCUUCUUUGUUCCGCAAGUCCAAGCCCUGACACAGUCAUUCAACAGCUUCAAAAGAAGGAGGAGCAAUAGCCGAAGGAAGUUUCUCCUCUGAAUGCUUUGUCUCAGCACAGUCCUCAACCAACCCAUCAAAAUAAACACCAUAUUGAUGAGGCUGACAGUGAAUUUUCUCCCAGUACUCUAAAAGUUCAAAGAGGAGGUGAUCUAGAGUAUAAGGUCCUAGAUCUUAAAAGACAUCUGAUGGAGAUCCAGGUAGGAGGUCGAUCUUAGAAUAAAGAUAGUUUCAAUCUUCGGUCUCCUUUCUCUCAUGAGAUCUUGAGUAAAUCGAUUUCAAAUCGAUUCAAGAUGCCCACCAUCGAGUCUUUAGAUAGCUUUGCUAAUCCAAUAGAUCAUAUCGAGGGUUAUAGAGCCCUCAUGACUUUACAAGAGACUUCCAAUAUCCUAUUAUGCAUUGCUUUUCCUAUGACCCUCAAGAAGACAG